CCAAAGCAGAGGGAGCUUGUUACCGAACAAGCCCUCUAUGAUGCUGGCCUGAGCCUAGUCCCCCGUCUAGGUACCGCUCGAUCCAUCGGUUGUCUUUUCGUUUCACAUUUGUCCCCGAACAUGCACUAAUUUUCUUGAUGAAAUUGCAGAGACGCCGUCGAGGAUGAGGCCGACCGACGUCAAAAUCAGACAGUAUGCGGCAAGGA
Molecule: long non-coding RNA, 206 nt
Filed under: Elaeis guineensis (African oil palm)
Lineage: Eukaryota; Viridiplantae; Streptophyta; Magnoliopsida; Arecales; Arecaceae
Description: long non-coding RNA (EGUI_LNC034892)
Source: RNAcentral